GGCGGACGGGUGAGUAAUAUAUAGGUAAUGUGCCCUAGAGAAGAGGAUAACAGUUGGAAACGACUGCUAAUACUCUAUAUGCCUUUAAGACAAAAGUCUGCAAGGGAAAUAUUUAUAGCUCUAGGAUCGGCCUGUACGGUAUCAGCUAGUUGGUGAGGUAAUGGCUCACCAAGGCAAUGACGCCUAACUGGUUUGAGAGGAUGAUCAGUCACACUGGAACUGAGACACGGUCCAGACUCCUACGGGAGGCAGCAGUGGGGAAUAUUGCACAAUGGGGGAAACCCUGAUGCAGCAACGCCGCGUGGAGGAUGACACAUUUCGGUGCGUAAACUCCUUUUAUAUAGGAAGAUAAUGACGGUACUAUAUGAAUAAGCGCCGGCUAACUCCGUGCCAGCAGCCGCGGUAAUACGGAGGGCGCAAGCGUUACUCGGAAUCACUGGGCGUAAAGAGCGUGUAGGCGGGUUAAUAAGUUUGAAGUGAAAUCCUAUGGCUCAACCAUAGAACUGCUUUGAAAACUGUUAACCUAGAAUAUGGGAGAGGUAGAUGGAAUUUCUGGUGUAGGGGUAAAAUCCGUAGAGAGAGAGAAGGAAUACCGAUUGCGAAGGCGAUCUACUGGAACAUUAUUGACGCUGAGACGCGAAAGCGUGGGGAGCAAACAGGAUUAGAUACCCUGGUAGUCCACGCCCUAAACG
RNAcentral lists this ribosomal RNA (692 nucleotides) under uncultured Arcobacter sp. RNAcentral's name for it is "bacterial SSU rRNA". It matches the Rfam family "Bacterial small subunit ribosomal RNA", at positions 97 to 808 of the family's 1533-position model. The record is from RNAcentral. Lineage: Bacteria; Pseudomonadati; Campylobacterota; Epsilonproteobacteria; Campylobacterales; Arcobacteraceae.